CCUACGGGAGACAGCAGUAGGGAAUCUUUCACAAUGGGCGAAAGCCUGAUGGAGCAACGCCGCGUGCAGGAUGAAGGCCUUCGGGUUGUAAACUGCUUUUAUAAGCGAGAAAUAUGAUGGUAACUUAUGAAUAAGGAUCGGCUAACUACGUGCCAGCAGCCGCGGUCAUACGUAGGAUCCGAGCAUUAUCCGGAGUGACUGGGUGUAAAGAGUUGCGUAGGUGGCAUAAUAAGUAGCUAGUGAAAUCUGGUGGCUCAACCAUUCAGACUAUUAGCUAAACUGUUAAGCUCGAGACCGUUAGGGGUAACUGGAAUUUCUAGUGUAGGAGUGAAAUCCGUAGAUAUUAGAAGGAACACCAAUAGCGAAGGCAGGUUGCUGGGACGGUUCUGACACUAAGGCACGAAAGCGUAGGGAGCAAACGGGAUUAGAUACCCGGGUAGUC
RNAcentral lists this ribosomal RNA (442 nucleotides) under uncultured bacterium. Its description in RNAcentral is "partial 16S ribosomal RNA". It matches the Rfam family "Bacterial small subunit ribosomal RNA", at positions 338 to 795 of the family's 1533-position model. The record is from RNAcentral.